CACUUCGCUAUGGCUGUCGCCGGGAGAUGACCCGGCUGAUGGUGGAUUGCUCGUGGGUUCAAAUGGAGAUACGUAUUAUAUGCCACCUGACACGGCACGAAAGUUGGAUGACACUGUCAAGGAGGGAAAUCUUUAUGGACAAACUCUAGGGGAGAAACUUUGGAGUUUUCUUAUGUGGUGGCGUCGGGAAAAUCCGGUUGAUGAUGCUCCUGUGUCCCUGGAAUAAUAGUGUGGUACAAAUUAUUUGUGCGUUGCGCAGCUUACAUAAAAUAAAGCCCUUCUCAGUAUUUGCUGAUGCCCAUAUGUCCCUACGAUGAUACUGGCAAGUAUUUGCUGAAGAAACUUCGUACAAAUCUUUCUCAACAAACACUUUUGUUUGUGUUGUACAGCAUACGCAAAAAAAUAUAAUAAAGCCCUUCUGAGUAUUUGAUA
This is a long non-coding RNA of Triticum aestivum (bread wheat), 432 nucleotides long. RefSeq lists it as uncharacterized. The record is from RefSeq and is a predicted model, not a curated record. Lineage: Eukaryota; Viridiplantae; Streptophyta; Magnoliopsida; Poales; Poaceae. The transcript has 2 exons.